RNAcentral lists this ribosomal RNA (270 nucleotides) under uncultured prokaryote. RNAcentral's name for it is "partial 16S ribosomal RNA". It matches the Rfam family "Bacterial small subunit ribosomal RNA", at positions 524 to 794 of the family's 1533-position model. The record is from RNAcentral.
UACGUAGGUGGCAAGCGUUGUCCGGAUUUACUGGGCGUAAAGGGUUCGCAGGCGGCCUUGUAAGUCAGAUGUGAAAGACAGCGGCUUAACCGUUGUAAGCAUUUGAAACUGCAGGGCUUGAGUACAGGAGAGGAAAGCGGAAUUCCUAGUGUAGCGGUGAAAUGCGUAGAUAUUAGGAGGAACACCAGUGGCGAAGGCGGCUUUCUGGACUGAUACUGACGCUGAGGAACGAAAGCGUGGGGAGCAAACAGGAUUAGAUACCCUGGUAGU